Molecule: ribosomal RNA, 1554 nt
Filed under: Staphylococcus aureus
Lineage: Bacteria; Bacillati; Bacillota; Bacilli; Caryophanales; Staphylococcaceae
Description: 16S ribosomal RNA
Rfam family: Bacterial small subunit ribosomal RNA
Source: RNAcentral
UUUAUGGAGAGUUUGAUCCUGGCUCAGGAUGAACGCUGGCGGCGUGCCUAAUACAUGCAAGUCGAGCGAACGGACGAGAAGCUUGCUUCUCUGAUGUUAGCGGCGGACGGGUGAGUAACACGUGGAUAACCUACCUAUAAGACUGGGAUAACUUCGGGAAACCGGAGCUAAUACCGGAUAAUAUUUUGAACCGCAUGGUUCAAAAGUGAAAGACGGUCUUGCUGUCACUUAUAGAUGGAUCCGCGCUGCAUUAGCUAGUUGGUAAGGUAACGGCUUACCAAGGCAACGAUGCAUAGCCGACCUGAGAGGGUGAUCGGCCACACUGGAACUGAGACACGGUCCAGACUCCUACGGGAGGCAGCAGUAGGGAAUCUUCCGCAAUGGGCGAAAGCCUGACGGAGCAACGCCGCGUGAGUGAUGAAGGUCUUCGGAUCGUAAAACUCUGUUAUUAGGGAAGAACAUAUGUGUAAGUAACUGUGCACAUCUUGACGGUACCUAAUCAGAAAGCCACGGCUAACUACGUGCCAGCAGCCGCGGUAAUACGUAGGUGGCAAGCGUUAUCCGGAAUUAUUGGGCGUAAAGCGCGCGUAGGCGGUUUUUUAAGUCUGAUGUGAAAGCCCACGGCUCAACCGUGGAGGGUCAUUGGAAACUGGAAAACUUGAGUGCAGAAGAGGAAAGUGGAAUUCCAUGUGUAGCGGUGAAAUGCGCAGAGAUAUGGAGGAACACCAGUGGCGAAGGCGACUUUCUGGUCUGUAACUGACGCUGAUGUGCGAAAGCGUGGGGAUCAAACAGGAUUAGAUACCCUGGUAGUCCACGCCGUAAACGAUGAGUGCUAAGUGUUAGGGGGUUUCCGCCCCUUAGUGCUGCAGCUAACGCAUUAAGCACUCCGCCUGGGGAGUACGACCGCAAGGUUGAAACUCAAAGGAAUUGACGGGGACCCGCACAAGCGGUGGAGCAUGUGGUUUAAUUCGAAGCAACGCGAAGAACCUUACCAAAUCUUGACAUCCUUUGACAACUCUAGAGAUAGAGCCUUCCCCUUCGGGGGACAAAGUGACAGGUGGUGCAUGGUUGUCGUCAGCUCGUGUCGUGAGAUGUUGGGUUAAGUCCCGCACCGAGCGCAACCCUUAAUCUUAGUCGCCAUCAUUAAGUUGGGCACUCUAAGUUGACUGCCGGUGACAAACCGGAGGAAGGUGGGGAUGACGUCAAAUCAUCAUGCCCCUUAUGAUUUGGGCUACACACGUGCUACAAUGGACAAUACAAAGGGCAGCGAAACCGCGAGGUCAAGCAAAUCCCAUAAAGUUGUUCUCAGUUCGGAUUGUAGUCUGCAACUCGACUACAUGAAGCUGGAAUCGCUAGUAAUCGUAGAUCAGCAUGCUACGGUGAAUACGUUCCCGGGUCUUGUACACACCGCCCGUCACACCACGAGAGUUUGUAACACCCGAAGCCGGUGGAGUAACCUUUUAGGAGCUAGCCGUCGAAGGUGGGACAAAUGAUUGGGGUGAAGUCGUAACAAGGUAGCCGUAUCGGAAGGUGCGGCUGGAUCACCUCCUUUCU